AUUGAACGCUGGCGGCAUGCUUUACACAUGCAAGUCGAACGGCAGCGCGGGCUUCGGCCUGGCGGCGAGUGGCGAACGGGUGAGUAAUACAUCGGAACGUGCCCAGUAGUGGGGGAUAGCUCGGCGAAAGCCGGAUUAAUACCGCAUACGACCUGAGGGUGAAAGCGGGGGAUCUUCGGACCUCGUGCUAUUGGAGCGGCCGAUGGCAGAUUAGCUAGUUGGUGGGGUAAAGGCCUACCAAGGCGACGACCUGUAGCUGGUCUGAGAGGACGACCAGCCACACUGGGACUGAGACACGGCCCAGACUCCUACGGGAGGCAGCAGUGGGGAAUUUUGGACAAUGGGCGAAAGCCUGAUCCAGCAAUGCCGCGUGUGUGAUGAAGGCCUUCGGGUUGUAAAGCACUUUUGGCGGGAACGAAAAGGACUGUGCCAAUACCACGGUUCGAUGACGGUACCCGCAGAAUAAGCACCGGCUAACUACGU
RNAcentral lists this ribosomal RNA (483 nucleotides) under uncultured bacterium. Its description in RNAcentral is "partial 16S ribosomal RNA". It matches the Rfam family "Bacterial small subunit ribosomal RNA", at positions 29 to 506 of the family's 1533-position model. The record is from RNAcentral.